AUGAACGCUGGCGGCGUGCCUCAUACAUGCAAGUCGAGCGAACAGACGAGGAGCUUGCUCCUCUGACGUUAGCGGCGGACGGGUGAGUAACACGUGGAUAACCUACCUAUAAGACUGGGAUAACUUCGGGAAACCGGAGCUAAUACCGGAUAAUAUAUUGAACCGCAUGGUUCAAUAGUGAAAGACGGUUUUGCUGUCACUUAUAGAUGGAUCCGCGCCGCAUUAGCUAGUUGGUAGGGUAACGGCUUACCAAGGCAACGAUGCGUAGCCGACCUGAGAGGGUGAUCGGCCACACUGGAACUGAGACACGGUCCAGACUCCUACGGGAGGCAGCAGUAGGGAAUCUUCCGCAAUGGGCGAAAGCUUGACGGAGCAACGCCGCGUGAGUGAUGAAGGUCUUCGGAUCGUAAAACUCUGUUAUUAGGGAAGAACAAAUGUGUAAGUAACUAUGCACGUCUUGACGGUACCUAAUCAGAAAGCCACGGCUAACUACGUG
RNAcentral lists this ribosomal RNA (496 nucleotides) under uncultured bacterium. RNAcentral's name for it is "partial 16S ribosomal RNA". It matches the Rfam family "Bacterial small subunit ribosomal RNA", at positions 29 to 507 of the family's 1533-position model. The record is from RNAcentral.